Long non-coding RNA from Lytechinus variegatus (green sea urchin), 1024 nucleotides. RefSeq lists it as uncharacterized. Lineage: Eukaryota; Metazoa; Echinodermata; Echinoidea; Temnopleuroida; Toxopneustidae. The record is from RefSeq and is a predicted model, not a curated record. The transcript has 2 exons.
UGCCCCCCCCCCUUUGGAAAAUCCAGGAUGUCACAAUGGUUAUUACAAAGUUUUUUGUUUUAAUUUGGCUCGACAAGGUGAAACAUAUAGAAGUAAUCAGAAUACAUGCUUAGCCAAGUAAAAUGCUUAGUAACUUGCUUACACUGUAGUCAGUCAGUGCUCUGAAUUUAAUAUUAGCCUUGGUGUGGGUGGUACAUGUAGUCUUCCUGCUUAGACCAACUAGUAAUACUGUAGACCAAUUAGUAUAAGACAGAGUGGGAUAACUAAAUAAAGAGGCAAUUAGAUCAAGAGAUGAAAUAAUAGAGAGUAUUAGAUUACCUGGUUAUUGAUUAGAGACCUAUCUUCCCCUUGCUAUCUUUAUCUCUUAUUCCUUCUCAUUAAUUUCAGAACCAUUCUCCUCUCUAUUUCUUCACUUUUUCUUUAUUUCCUUUUCUAUUUCAUCUUUCUCAUUUUCUUUUCACUCUUUUUAUUAUCUGUCAUCCCCUAUUACACAUUUUCUUUUCAAGUUUUAUCAAAUUCCAAAUACUUUUACCCACUCAAUCUCCCAUGCCAGGUACACUAUUGAAUUGGGAUACUUUCUUGAAAUCUAUCUCUUUCACCUUCAACAAGGCAUUGCAUUUAGAUGUCAAUUUAUAGAAGUCAUAGUCAUGACAAUUACCAAGUUCCAUUUAAAGUCUAAUUCAUCAAUUUUCUUGUGAACUUAUAGCUAAAUGAAUUAGCACACAAUGGACUUACAUAAUCUACGAAUAUAUUGAAAUACAUAUUUCAUGUAUUUUUAUUCAUAAGCAACAAAAAAAGUAAUAAAACAAUCAAUACAAACCAUAUCAUAAAAAAAAUGAUAAAUUAAUAUUGCCAUGAUAUUCACUUAUACAUGCAUAAUCACAAUUCCAAAGUAUUUGCAUAGAUGGUGUAAUCUACUAUUACAUGUACAUUAGAAACUUGUGCACUUGAGCUGGUAAGUUCCAAACUCUCAUUGCAGUAAAAUCUACUUGUAAUAUGUUCUGAAUGUGUAUUCAUCAGUAUA